GGCGCUAUAGCCAAGUGGUUACGGCGACAGAUUAGAAUUUCUUGUCUAUCUGUUCUCCUUUGGAGGCGCAGGUUCGAAUCCUGCUGGCGUCG
RNAcentral lists this transfer RNA (92 nucleotides) under Gelatoporia subvermispora B. It matches the Rfam family "tRNA". From Rfam's summary of the family: Transfer RNA (tRNA) molecules are approximately 80 nucleotides in length. Their secondary structure includes four short double-helical elements and three loops (D, anti-codon, and T loops). The record is from Rfam by way of RNAcentral. Lineage: Eukaryota; Fungi; Basidiomycota; Agaricomycetes; Polyporales; Gelatoporiaceae.